This 489-nucleotide ribosomal RNA is filed under the name uncultured Gammaproteobacteria bacterium. Its description in RNAcentral is "bacterial SSU rRNA". It matches the Rfam family "Bacterial small subunit ribosomal RNA", at positions 560 to 1050 of the family's 1533-position model. The record is from RNAcentral. Lineage: Bacteria; Pseudomonadati; Pseudomonadota; Gammaproteobacteria.
GUAAAGAGUACGUAGGCGGCUUUUCAAGUCGGAUGUGAAAGCCCUGAGCUUAACUCAGGAACUGCAUUCGAUACUGGAUCGCUAGAGUAUAUUAGAGGAUAGUGGAAUUUCAAGUGUAGCGGUGAAAUGCGUAGAUAUUUGAAGGAACACCAAUGGCGAAGGCAGCUAUCUGGAAUAAUACUGACGCUGAGGUACGAAAGCGUGGGGAGCAAACAGGAUUAGAUACCCUGGUAGUCCACGCCGUAAACGAUGAGAACUAGACGUUGGAUCCUUGAGGUUCAGUGGCACAGCUAACGCAUUAAGUUCUCCGCCUGGGGAGUACGGCCGCAAGGCUAAAACUCAAAUGAAUUGACGGGGGCCCGCACAAGCGGUGGAGCAUGUGGUUUAAUUCGACGCAACGCGAAGAACCUUACCUGGCCUUGACAUGCAGAGAACUUUCCAGAGAUGGAUUGGUGCCUUCGGGAACUCUGACACAGGUGCUGCAUGGCC